Caenorhabditis brenneri is the source of this 46-nucleotide non-coding RNA. Lineage: Eukaryota; Metazoa; Nematoda; Chromadorea; Rhabditida; Rhabditidae. The record is from Rfam.
GCAUAGGUUUCUUUAGAAACCAUAAACAACAACUUUCCAAAACCCG